Molecule: long non-coding RNA, 1953 nt
Filed under: Oreochromis niloticus (Nile tilapia)
Lineage: Eukaryota; Metazoa; Chordata; Actinopteri; Cichliformes; Cichlidae
Description: lncRNA (ENSONIG00000038521.1)
Source: RNAcentral
AUGAAAGAGGCCCUGUCAUACUGCGAAAACGAUGUUGAAAUUCUAGCUGAGGGCUGUAAAUUGUUUAGAAACGGGUUUAUUGAGGAAACAGGAGUAGACCCUUUCAGCCGCAACACGCUUGCAAGUGCCUGCCUAAAAACUUUUUUAACAAACUUCAUGCCAGCCAAUUCUUUAGCAAUACCAUGUCCCCUAAAUUACCGUAAUCAGGUCAAAUCAUUUUCCUCUGCCUCAAUUCAAUGGCUAGAAUAUCUCUCCUACACGCAAGGUGUUUUUAUCAGACAUGCGCUAAAUCAAGGAGAAAAAAAGCUGGGUAGUUAUUAUGUAGAUGGAUAUGCCCUAAUUAAUAAUAAACCAUAUGUCUGGGAAUUUUUGGGGUGUUACUUUCAUGGGUGUGUCAAGUGUUUUUCAAAUCAGGCCGACAUUAACCCCUUGUUAGACCUAACUUUUGCAGAGCUAAACAGCAGCACUGAAGAAAGACUCGCUAAAUUGAGAACUGAGUAUAAUGUGUGUCUUGUUACAAUCUGGGAGCACGAGUGGACCGAUUUAAAACUUGGUGAUCAGAGUGUGAUCAGGUUUCUCAAACAUUACGAACCGCCAGAACCUUUGAACCCCCCCCAUGCCCUCUUUGGAGGGCGUACAAGCCCUGCACAGCUGCGCUGCAGUGCAGGCCCUGGGGAGAGAAUCGGUUAUGUGGAUGUUACCUCGCUGUAUCCGUUUGUAAAUAGCACCUGUAGUUACCCCUUAGGACAUCCUCAAAUAAUCUUUCGAAAUUUUCAGCACCCUAAAAACUACUUUGGGUUUAUCAAAGCGGUUGUAUACCCACCCAGAGCCCUCUAUUUUCCAGUUUUACCUUUUAAAACUACGUCAGGAAAGCUUAUCUUUACCCUCUGCCGCACCUGUGCUGAAAUGAACAACCAACAGGGGGCGUGUAACCAUAGCAACGAGGAGAGAGCCCUCAAAGGGGUUUGGACCACUGUAGAAUUUAAUCUUGCAUUAGAAAAGGGGUAUCAAAUAAGUAGAAUCACCGAGGUGUGGCACUUUGAGAAACAGAGUAACACAAUAUUCACAGACUAUGUACAUCAUUUCCUGCGCAAAAAACAAGAAGCUUCAGGCUACCCAUCAGAUGUUGUAACUGAGGAGGAUAAACAGCUUUACAUUAAAGACUACCAGGCUAAGCAAGGCAUCACUUUAGACCCUGAAAACAUAAAACUAAACCCAGCUAAAAGACAAAUGGCCAAACUGUGUUUAAACUCUUUUUGGGGAAAAUUUGGCCAGAGAAAUAAUCUCACACAGAGCAAACUGGUGAGUGACCCCGAGGAAUUCUUUAAUCUGAUGUUUUCUCCAAAAUACAAAGUGACCUAUUUCACUUUUGUCAGCGACGAUGUAGCGCUUAUUCAAUGGUGUUAUGGCGAUCUAUGUACCCCAUUGCCAAACUCCACAGAUAACAUCUUCAUUGCGGCCUUCACUACUUCAUAUGGGCGUAUGAAACUCUACAGUUAUUUGGAUCAGUUGCAGGAGAGAGCAAUUUACUACGAUACUGACAGUGUUGUUUAUCUCACCAAACAAAAUCAAUCUGAACUAGAAUUAGGUAGAUAUUUGGGUGACCUGACCAAUGAACUAGAGCAGGAUGAUUUCAUUACAGAGUUUGUUGCAGCUGGACCCAAAAGCUAUGGCUAUAUGACCAAAAAAGGUAAAGUUGUCUUGAAAGCAAAAGGGAUCACACAAACACACGAUGUCUGCGAAAGGGUCAACUUUGAAUCUGUGAAAAACCUGGCUGACAAUUACAUUGAUAACAGUGAAGGAGGGUCUACACUUGAGGCACCACAACACACUAUCCUUCGUAAUAAAGCUGGGUUUGCACUGAAAAAUUCAUCAUUCCCCAAAAAAUUCCGGGUUGUUUAUGACAAGCGUAGAUUGCUGCCAGGAGGUCUGACUUUGCCCUUUGGUUAUUGA